This 288-nucleotide ribosomal RNA is filed under the name uncultured prokaryote. Its description in RNAcentral is "partial 16S ribosomal RNA". It matches the Rfam family "Bacterial small subunit ribosomal RNA", at positions 355 to 635 of the family's 1533-position model. The record is from RNAcentral.
UGGGGAAUUUUGGACAAUGGGCGAAAGCCUGAUCCAGCAAUGCCGCGUGAGUGAAGAAGGCCUUCGGGUUGUAAAGCUCUUUUGUCAGGGAAGAAACGGUGGGUUCUAAUACAGCCUGCUAAUGACGGUACCUGAAGAAUAAGCACCGGCUAACUACGUGCCAGCAGCCGCGGUAAUACGUAGGGUGCAAGCGUUAAUCGGAAUUACUGGGCGUAAAGCGUGCGCAGGCGGUUUUGUAGGUCUGUCGUGAAAUCCCCGGGCUCAACCUGGGAAUGGCGAUGGAGACUG